Brienomyrus brachyistius is the source of this 1681-nucleotide long non-coding RNA. RefSeq lists it as uncharacterized. The record is from RefSeq and is a predicted model, not a curated record. NCBI's taxonomy places the organism in Eukaryota, Metazoa, Chordata, Actinopteri, Osteoglossiformes, Mormyridae. The transcript is spliced from 2 exons.
GCUAUAGGGGUGCUGCAUGCUGGCUGACCCCAUGCUGUGACCCCCCCAGCUAUAGGGGUGCUGCAUGCUGGCUGACCCCAUGCUGUGACCCCCCCAGCUAUAGGGGUGCUGCAUGCUGGCUGACCCAGUGCUGUGACCCCCCCAGCUAUAGGGGUGCUGCAUGCUGGCUGACCCCAUGCUGUGACCCCCCCAGCUAUAGGGGUGCUGCAUGCUGGCUGACCCCAUGCUGUGACCCCCCCAGCUAUAGGGGUGCUGCAUGCUGGCUGACCCAGUGCUGUGACCCCCCAGCUUGCUAUCACCUGUAUAUGUGUCUCCUGAUGUGAUGAAUAAAGUUUCCCUAUUCUAUUCAAACGGGUGCAGGUACGCUUUUAACAGGGAGUGCAUGCAUAUGUGUGUGAUCUCUCACAAAUACAAUAUUUUAUAACAUAUUUUUUAGAAACUCUAAUUCAGCAUUGAGUUGUUUUGGACAACCUUCAUGGCUUGACUGCUAAUUGUAUGCGCAUAAUAUGAAAACUACAAUUUGGACUGAAUAUCAGUUUUGAUUCAACAGCUGAUAUGUAAAGAGAGCAUCUUUAAAUUCCAAAAGCUCAUCAUGUCUAGCUGAAUGAGAGGGGCGGAAUGCUGUUUUAGUGUGCUUUUCUGUGUCUUCUGGAUGCCCAGCACUUUCCCCCAACGUUUGUCGAUAUAACAAAUAAUGUGUGAUGUGUGAUGUGUAAUGCGUGAUGUGUACAGCUGUGGAUUUACUGUGGCUGUCAUAAGGAGGGGAUGAAAUGUUGACAGGUUAGCCGCUUUUCUUUCUCUGUAUGUGCUUAGAGAUUUUCGGGGUGUACUAAACUCUUUUGUUACUUUUGCUUGGUGUUUGUCUCCUUCUGCAAAGUUUAACUGAACAAAUUCAGCAUCAUAAAUGAGGUACCAUAGAUGGAUCGGUAGCACCAAGUGAUAUAGACAAGCGAGGCUUGAAGGAUGUUGACCGACGUCUUUGACAUCGAACUUUUUCAAGUUGAUGUGUUCUACAAAGGUCAUGUGACUAAAUGUUCACAUGAAAAUAACAUAAAAAUCACAACAUUUCUUGGGACUGCUUGUUUGGAAUAAAUAAUUUGCUGCCAGCAUUUUUUAUGCCUGUUAGUUGUGUCUAGCAGAAGGCUUGUAUAGCUUCCUCAAGCUGAUGAAUUUUGACAGGUUUUUCCCCCUAAUCCUUGACAGAUUGUCAGAAUCUCCUUCUGAGGAUCUCUCUGUCUUGGCUCCUUUCUGAUGUUGGAUGUGGUGAUUCUCCCACUCCCCCAGGCCGCCCAGGCGAGACACAGCGCUCCUGAUGCUGCAGCAGGAACGCCAUCCCCGGGAUCUUCACUCGCGGACAUCACAGGCACGUUCAGCCGUAUUGCAAUUAUCAAGGGAUGACUGUUCCAGGCGUGGCUCCCAGUCUGUUUACGAGGCAGAACCUAUAUUUUGCACGCUUCUCUCAGCCCCUGAUGCCAUUUCUCAGACAGCGUCAAGCGAACUAUGAAUGUCCUGAAGAUUUAAUGCAAUAGUAACAAAACAAGCAAGUAGUUUCUCUACAUAAAAUCCUUAUCAAUUAAAAAAUAUAACACAGCAAAAAAAGUACUGCAUUUUCUGCAUGCGGUGGCAUUCGGAAUGUUUGAAUUGGUCAUGGUUCAUCUCCAAUUAAAAGUUCUUAUGCAUA